RNAcentral lists this transfer RNA (75 nucleotides) under Patescibacteria group bacterium. RNAcentral's name for it is "tRNA-Asn". It matches the Rfam family "tRNA". From Rfam's summary of the family: Transfer RNA (tRNA) molecules are approximately 80 nucleotides in length. Their secondary structure includes four short double-helical elements and three loops (D, anti-codon, and T loops). The record is from RNAcentral.
UCCGAGGUAGCUCAGUGGCAGAGCAACUGGCUGUUAACCAGUGGGUCGUGGGUUCGAAUCCCACCCUCGGAGCCA